Molecule: ribosomal RNA, 334 nt
Filed under: uncultured Bacillota bacterium
Lineage: Bacteria; Bacillati; Bacillota
Description: bacterial SSU rRNA
Rfam family: Bacterial small subunit ribosomal RNA
Source: RNAcentral
GAUGAACGCUGGCGGCGUGCCUAAUACAUGCAAGUCGAGCGAAUCUAAGGGAGCUUGCUCCCAAAGAUUAGCGGCGGACGGGUGAGUAACACGUGGGCAACCUACCUGUAAGACUGGGAUAACUUCGGGAAACCGGAGCUAAUACCGGAUAACAUAUGAGACCACAUGGUCUUAUAUUAAAAGAUGGCUUCUUUCUAUCACUUACGGAUGGGCCCGCGGCGCAUUAGCUAGUUGGUGAGGUAACGGCUCACCAAGGCAACGAUGCGUAGCCGACCUGAGAGGGUGAUCGGCCACACUGGGACUGAGACACGGCCCAGACUCCUACGGGUGGCAG